UACGUAGGUGGCAAGCGUUGUCCGGAUUUACUGGGCGUAAAGGGCGUGCAGGCGGUUCGUUAAGUCUAGGGUGAAAGCUCCCGGCUCAACUGGGAGAGGUCUUUGGAUACUGGCGGACUUGAGGAGGGUAGAGGAGAGUGGAAUUCCCGGUGUAGUGGUGAUAUGCGUAGAUAUCGGGAGGAACACCAGUGGCGAAGGCGGCUCUCUGGGCCCUACCUGACGCUGAGACGCGAAAGCGUGGGGAGCGAACCGG
RNAcentral lists this ribosomal RNA (253 nucleotides) under uncultured bacterium. RNAcentral's name for it is "partial 16S ribosomal RNA". It matches the Rfam family "Bacterial small subunit ribosomal RNA", at positions 524 to 776 of the family's 1533-position model. The record is from RNAcentral.